Molecule: ribosomal RNA, 460 nt
Filed under: uncultured bacterium
Lineage: Bacteria
Description: partial 16S ribosomal RNA
Rfam family: Bacterial small subunit ribosomal RNA
Source: RNAcentral
CCUACGGGAGGCUGCAGUGAGGAAUAUUGGUCAAUGGCCGUAAGGCUGAACCAGCCAAGUCGCGUGAAGGAAGAAGGAUCGAUGGUUUGUAAACUUCUUUUAUAGGGGAAUAAAGGUAUCCACGUGUGGCUAUUUGCAUGUACCCUAUGAAUAAGCAUCGGCUAACUCCGUGCCAGCAGCCGCGGUAAUACGGAGGAUGCGAGCGUUAUCCGGAUUUAUUGGGUUUAAAGGGUGCGUAGGUUGUUUUUUAAGUCAGCGGUGAAAGUUUGUGGCUCAACCAUAAAAUUGCCGUUGAAACUGGAAGACUUGAGUGUGUUUGAGGUAGGCGGAAUGCGUGGUGUAGCGGUGGAAUGCAUAGAUAUCACGCAGAACUCCGAUUGCGAAGGCAGCUUACUAAGCCAUAACUGACACUGAAGCACGAAAGCGUGGGGAUCAAACAGGAUUAGAUACCCUUGUAGUC